GAUGAACGCUGGCGGUAUGCCUAACACAUGCAAGUCGUACGAGAGUUUUUAACUCUAGUGGCGGACGGGUGAGUAACACGUGAGAAUUUGCCUUUAGGAGGGGGACAAACAAUUGGAAACGAAUGCUAAUAUCCCAUAUGCUUUCGAGUGAAAUGGAUUUUAUCCGCCUAGAGAGAAGCUCGCGGCUGAUUAGCUUGUUGGUAAGGUAAGAGCUUACCAAGGCGACGAUCAGUAUCUGGUUUGAGAGGACGAUCAGACACACUGGAACUGAGACACGGUCCAGACUCCUACGGGAGGCAGCAGUGGGGAAUUUUCCGCAAUGGGCGAAAGCCUGACGGAGCAAUACCGCGUGAGGGAAGAAUGCCUAUGGGUUGUAAACUGCUUUUGUACGGAACGAAACGGUGAGCUCUAAUACAGUUUGCUAAUGACGGUACCGUAAGAAUAAGCACCGGCUAACUACGUAGCCAGCAGCCGCGGUAAAGUGACUACUG
This 491-nucleotide ribosomal RNA is filed under the name uncultured bacterium. RNAcentral's name for it is "bacterial SSU rRNA". It matches the Rfam family "Bacterial small subunit ribosomal RNA", at positions 28 to 532 of the family's 1533-position model. The record is from RNAcentral.